This 276-nucleotide unclassified non-coding RNA is filed under the name Hevea brasiliensis (rubber tree). Lineage: Eukaryota; Viridiplantae; Streptophyta; Magnoliopsida; Malpighiales; Euphorbiaceae. The record is from RNAcentral.
CAUCAACCAAACCAGGAUCCAUGCCGACCGACAUCAUGCCGUUGCCGGGGAGAGUCGAGAGCCUGGCCGGCAGUGGGCUCACCACAAUCCCAAAAGAGUAUGUUCGUCCCGAGUCGGAGCGCGACAACCUCGGUGACGCUUUCGACGAAGCCAUGAAGUUGAACUCGAGUGGACCGCAGGUGCCGGUAGUCGACCUAGCGGGGUUUGAUUCGCCCGAUGAGGCGGUGAGGGCGAAGUGUGUGGAGGAAUUGAAGAAGGCAGCGGAGGAUUGGGGGG